AGCACCGAAGAGAACGGAUGUAGGGCUGACGUGGAGGAGAAUGACAGCAUCCCCGGGACGGAUGUAGUGGUCGACAGCCCAGCUGACAGCGUAGGCAGAUUCAUCGGAGAGGUCAACCGCGACGCCGAUCUUGCGGCGGGCACCAGCGGUGGGAGUGGCGGCGUGUAGGUGGGAGUGGUGGUGAGAGUGGCGUGGGGAAGAAGGGUGGUGGAUCUUGAUUGUUGGGAGUUGUGGGUGGUCUGGAUCUACUGGAUUUUGUUGUUGCUGUUGAGGAUUCAUCGCUUCUGAUAAGGUUUGAUGUGUUUUUAUUUUA
Molecule: long non-coding RNA, 313 nt
Filed under: Populus trichocarpa (black cottonwood)
Lineage: Eukaryota; Viridiplantae; Streptophyta; Magnoliopsida; Malpighiales; Salicaceae
Description: long non-coding RNA (PTRI_LNC002781)
Source: RNAcentral